This 494-nucleotide ribosomal RNA is filed under the name uncultured bacterium. RNAcentral describes it as "partial 16S ribosomal RNA". It matches the Rfam family "Bacterial small subunit ribosomal RNA", at positions 28 to 507 of the family's 1533-position model. The record is from RNAcentral.
GACGAACGCUGGCGGCGUGCUUAACACAUGCAAGUCGAACGGUGAAGCGCCUUCCUUUUUGGUGGGUGUGGAUGAGUGGCGAACGGGUGAGUAACACGUGAGUAACCUGCCCCCUUCUUCUGGAUAACCGCAUGAAAGUGUGGCUAAUACGGGAUAUUCUGGGUCUGUCGCAUGAUGGGUCUGGGAAAGAUAUUGUUUCGGUGGGGGAUGGGCUCGCGGCCUAUCAGCUUGUUGGUGGGGUGAUGGCCUACCAAGGCGGUGACGUGUAGCCGGCCUGAGAGGGUGGACGGUCACACUGGGACUGAGACACGGCCCAGACUCCUACGGGAGGCAGCAGUGGGGAAUAUUGCACAAUGGGCGCAAGCCUGAUGCAGCGACGCCGCGUGAGGGAUGGAGGCCUUCGGGUUGUGAACCUCUUUCGCCAGUGAAGCAGGCCUGCCUCGUUUGUGGGUGGGUUGACGGUAGCUGGAUAAGAAGCGCCGGCUAACUACGUG